CGCAGCCGCGGUAAUUCCAGCUCCAAUAGCGUAUAUUAAAGUUGUUGCAGUUAAAAGGCUCGUAGUUGAAUUUCGGGAUCAAUUGAUUGGUCAUGCCUUGGUAUGUACUGGUCAUAUUGGUUCUCACCUUCUAAUGAACCAUAAUGUCAUUUAUUUGAUGUUAUGGGGAAUUAGGACUGUUACCUUGAAAAAAUUAGAGUGUUUAAAGCAGGCUUACGCUUGAAUACAUUAGCAUGGAAUAAUGAAAUAGGACAUCGUAUUCUAUUUUGUUGGUUUCUAGGAUCGAUGUAAUGAUUAAUAGGGAUAGUUGGGGGCAUUAGUAUUCAAUUGUCAGAGGUGAAAUUCUUGGAUUUAUUGAAGACUAACUACUGCGAAAGCAUUUGCCAAGGAUGUUUUCAUUAAUCAAGAACGAAAGUUAGGGGAUCGAAGACGAUCAGAUACCGUCGUAGUCUUAACCAUAAACUAUGCCGACUAGGGACCGGAUGAUGUUAAUUUUUAAUGACUCAUUUGGCGCCUUAAC
RNAcentral lists this ribosomal RNA (520 nucleotides) under uncultured Glomus. RNAcentral's name for it is "SSU rRNA". It matches the Rfam family "Eukaryotic small subunit ribosomal RNA", at positions 569 to 1092 of the family's 1831-position model. The record is from RNAcentral. Lineage: Eukaryota; Fungi; Glomeromycota; Glomeromycetes; Glomerales; Glomeraceae.